RNAcentral lists this ribosomal RNA (492 nucleotides) under uncultured bacterium. RNAcentral's name for it is "partial 16S ribosomal RNA". It matches the Rfam family "Bacterial small subunit ribosomal RNA", at positions 29 to 507 of the family's 1533-position model. The record is from RNAcentral.
AGUGAACGCUGGCGGUAGGCCUAACACAUGCAAGUCGAACGGCAGCACAGUAAGAGCUUGCUCUUACGGGUGGCGAGUGGCGGACGGGUGAGGAAUACAUCGGAAUCUACUUUUUCGUGGGGGAUAACGUAGGGAAACUUACGCUAAUACCGCAUACGACCUACGGGUGAAAGCAGGGGAUCUUUGGACCUUGCGCGAUUGAAUGAGCCGAUGUCGGAUUAGCUAGUUGGCGGGGUAAAGGCCCACCAAGGCGACGAUCCGUAGCUGGUCUCAGAGGAUGAUCAGCCACACUGGAACUGAGACACGGUCCAGACUCCUGCGGGAGGCAGCAGUGGGGAAUAUUGGACAAUGGACGCAAGCCUGAUCCAGCCAUACCGCGUGGGUGAAGAAGGCCUUCGGGUUGUAAAGCCCUUUUGUUGGGAAAGAAAAGCAGCAGGUUAAUACCCCGCUAUUCUGACGGUACCCAAAGAAUAAGCACCGGCUAACUUCGUG